This 227-nucleotide long non-coding RNA is filed under the name Elaeis guineensis (African oil palm). RNAcentral's name for it is "long non-coding RNA (EGUI_LNC046897)". Lineage: Eukaryota; Viridiplantae; Streptophyta; Magnoliopsida; Arecales; Arecaceae. The record is from RNAcentral.
CUCGUUGUCGGAGAAGCUCAGAUAUUGAUGAAGUUCGAAAGAAGUUCAAAGUAAGGUCGUCCGCGAUUGGAAGAAAUCCGGAAGGGAUUCGGAGAAUAGUUGAUUACUGUAGAAGGUCGGCUGAUAGUGAGGCCCAGAGAGCCUUUGGAGCGGCCCGGUAGAUGAAUGCAGAAGCUCAUUGUCGGAGAAGUUCGGACGGUCGAGGGGGUUCAGAGAGAUGCUACAUA